CAGUGGGGAAUAUUGCACAAUGGGCGAAAGCCUGAUGCAGCAACGCCGCGUGAGCGAUGAAGGCCUUUGGGUCGUAAAGCUCUGUCCUUGGGGAAGAAAAAAAUGACGGUACCCAAGGAGGAAGCCCCGGCUAACUACGUGCCAGCAGCCGCGGUAAUACGUAGGGGGCAAGCGUUAUCCGGAAUUAUUGGGCGUAAAGAGUACGUAGGUGGUCUUUUAAGCGCAGGGUUUAAGGCAAUGGCUUAACCAUUGUUCGCCCUGUGAACUGGAAGACUUGAGUGUAGGAGAGGAAAGUGGAAUUCCUAGUGUAGCGGUGAAAUGCGUAGAUAUUAGGAGGAACAUCAGUGGCGAAGGCGACUUUCUGGACUAUUACUGACACUGAGGUACGAAAGCGUGGGGAGCAAACAGGAUUAGA
RNAcentral lists this ribosomal RNA (415 nucleotides) under uncultured bacterium. RNAcentral's name for it is "bacterial SSU rRNA". It matches the Rfam family "Bacterial small subunit ribosomal RNA", at positions 352 to 782 of the family's 1533-position model. The record is from RNAcentral.